Molecule: transfer RNA, 76 nt
Filed under: Patescibacteria group bacterium
Lineage: Bacteria
Description: tRNA-Arg
Rfam family: tRNA
About the family: Transfer RNA (tRNA) molecules are approximately 80 nucleotides in length. Their secondary structure includes four short double-helical elements and three loops (D, anti-codon, and T loops).
Source: RNAcentral
GCGCCCGUAGUUCAGUGGAUAGAACGCAACGUUGCGGACGUUGAGGUCAGGGGUUCGAGUCCCUUCGGGCGCGCCA